This 746-nucleotide ribosomal RNA is filed under the name uncultured Xiphinematobacteriaceae bacterium. RNAcentral describes it as "bacterial SSU rRNA". It matches the Rfam family "Bacterial small subunit ribosomal RNA", at positions 539 to 1279 of the family's 1533-position model. Lineage: Bacteria; Pseudomonadati; Verrucomicrobiota; Spartobacteria. The record is from RNAcentral.
CGUUGUUCGGAUUCAUUGGGCGUAAAGGGUGCGUAGGCGGCGCGGUAAGUCGGGUGUGAAAUCUCGGAGCUUAACUCCGAAACUGCAUUCGAUACUGCCGUGCUUGAGGACUGGAGAGGAGACUGGAAUUUACGGUGUAGCGGUGAAAUGCGUAGAUAUCGUAAGGAAGACCAGUGGCGAAGGCGGGUCUCUGGACAGUUCCUGACGCUGAGGCACGAAGGCCAGGGGAGCAAACGGGAUUAGAUACCCCGGUAGUCCUGGCAGUAAACGGUGCACGUUUGGUGUGGGAGGAUUCGACCCCUUCUGCGCCGGAGCUAACGCGUUAAACGUGCCGCCUGGGGAGUACGGUCGCAAGAUUAAAACUCAAAGAAAUUGACGGGGGCCCGCACAAGCGGUGGAGUAUGUGGCUCAAUUCGAUGCAACGCGGAGAACCUUACCAGGCCUUGACAUGCAUGUCUAAGUUGGUGAAAGCCAGCGAGUCCCGAAAGGGACGAUUUGCACAGGUGCUGCAUGGCUGUCGUCAGCUCGUGUCGUGAGAUGUUGGGUUAAGUCCCGCAACGAGCGCAACCCCUGUGAACUGUUGCCACCGGCGCAAGCCGAGCACUCUGUUCAGACUGCCCUGCUUUAACGGGGAGGAAGGUGGGGACGACGUCAAGUCAGUAUGGCCCUUACGGCCUGGGCUGCACACGUACUACAAUGCCCAGCACAGAACGAUCCGAGACCGCAAGGUGGAGGAAAUCACUAAA